RNAcentral lists this small RNA (133 nucleotides) under Klebsiella pneumoniae. RNAcentral's name for it is "RtT sRNA". It matches the Rfam family "RtT RNA". From Rfam's summary of the family: This family represents a bacterial cis-regulatory element known as RtT RNA. The exact function of RtT is unknown although it is thought that it may be involved in changing the cellular response in relation to amino acid starvation. The record is from RNAcentral. Lineage: Bacteria; Pseudomonadati; Pseudomonadota; Gammaproteobacteria; Enterobacterales; Enterobacteriaceae.
UGUUUGCACUUAGCGGGAAGGGUAAGAACCUUCGACUAAGGUUCGACUCGAGCGCCAGCGAGAGAACGUUGCCGCAGGCAACGGCCCGAAGGGCGAGGCGCGAUAGCGACGAGUUAUCCUUCCCCCACCACCA